UACGGAGGGGGCAAGCGUUGUUCGGAAUUACUGGGCGUAAAGGGCGCGCAGGCGGCUGCUCAAGUCAGGCGUGAAAGUCCAGGGCUCAACCCUGGGAUGCCGGUGGAUACUGUCGGGCUCGAGUCCGGAAGAGGCGAGUGGAAUUCCUGGUGUAGCGGUGAAAUGCGCAGAUAUCGAGAGGAACACCUGCGGCGAAGGCGGGUUGCUGGGCCAAUACUGACGCUGAGGAGCGAAAGCGUGGGGAGCGAACAGG
RNAcentral lists this ribosomal RNA (253 nucleotides) under uncultured bacterium. RNAcentral describes it as "partial 16S ribosomal RNA". It matches the Rfam family "Bacterial small subunit ribosomal RNA", at positions 524 to 776 of the family's 1533-position model. The record is from RNAcentral.